CCCUUAGAUGUCCUGGGCCGCACGCGCGCUACACUGACAUGUUCAACAAGCCUCCUAGUUCGACAGGAUUUGGGAAAUCUUUGAACGCAUGUCGUGAUAGGGAUAGAUCAUUGCAAUUAUUGAUCUUGAACGAGGAAUUCCUAGUAAACGCGAGUCAUCAGCUCGCAUUGAUUACGUCCCUGCCCUUUGUACACACCGCCCGUCGCACCUACCGAUCGAAUGUUUCGGUGAAGAUUCCGGAUAGGACUUUUUUGAUUUAUUUCAAUUUUGUCUUAAAAGCUAUCUAAACCUCAACAUUUAGAGGAAGGUGAAGUCGUAACA
This 321-nucleotide ribosomal RNA is filed under the name uncultured eukaryote. RNAcentral describes it as "partial 18S ribosomal RNA". It matches the Rfam family "Eukaryotic small subunit ribosomal RNA", at positions 1470 to 1796 of the family's 1831-position model. The record is from RNAcentral.